GAGGGGAGACACUGAGAAGUCAGGAAACAUCUGUUCCAAAUGGCGUCCCCAGAAGGAUUUGGAGUACCAGUGACUUGGGUUAUCUUUGCAGUUAGGGAAGAAGGGAACACAUCCCAGGAUCCCUUGCUCUGCUUUCUAUGAAGACAUGGAGACGUGCGGGCUUUAUUUCCCAUCUCCCAGCCCCGGGUGCCUCUGUGAUGAAGCCUUGACGGUUUUGGCUGCCCUUUCUCGACUUCUGUUGUUUUCUGGGGCUCAGUGGGAUCAGUAUUCUGUGCCGUGGCAAGACAUGCCAACAAAUUGCAUCACUUCUGCCUCGGUGACCAAGGACAAUGACAUGCCAUAUGCCAGCGGCAGGAAAUGAAUGGGGCUCAUUUACACUGGCACCGGGUGAUGCGGCCAUCAGCUUCCUGAGACUGUCUGCAGCAAAUUGGAAGGUGGCAGAGAGGCGGAACCCCUGGGCUCCCAGCUACAGGACAGAGAAGGUGUGGUUGGAAGUACCUGGUCCCACAGGGUGGGGUGUCCUUCCUGGAGGAACUUAAGCCUUCCCGUCUCCGAGGAGGCCCUGAAUCAGGUCAGCAUCUGCUCCCUGCACUGAAGGGAAAGAAAGGGACUGGGUGUAGCAAUGCCUUCCAGCUGCUGGACAGAACAAAAACUCAGUGGGUGCCGUGCACAGAACAACUGAAGCAUUUGCUUGUGCAAGCGGCCUGCCACAAAAGCUUGCCCUGUCGGUGACCCCAUGCCUGGACCCCACCCCGUGACGGCAUAGCUCACACCAUCCGACCUCCAGCCUCUAUGGCAUCUCCUUGUUUAUCUUCACACAUGGACUCGGGGACUCAGGUAACCAGGGUCUCUCUUUCACUAAGCUGGACUGCACCUUGAAACUGUGAGCCAAAGUUAACCCUUUCAUAACAUGCCGUUUACACUUAAUUUUUCACAGCAACCAAACAGACUCUGGAGCCAGGAAGCUCAGUGCUUGGGUCUGCUGCAAACUGCUGGAAGCGUAAAUGGGAAGAAAGUUCUCUCUGCAUAGCUCACAGCUCUGCACUGAUCUCAGCGCUGUCGGAAGUGUGUACCGGGAUUCCGUCUUUCUCACUUGUUUUCUGUGCUCAGGGCUGUUGCAGGCAAAGGUCUUUUGCUAACGAGGCGAGCAACGGGAGAUGGUGAGAGUUGGUCGAUGGCAGUUGAGAACAGGACAUGAAAAGAUGUUUCCAUACAUUGCCGAAAGAGAAAGAGGAGGAACCAUCAGAGUGUGGGAGAAGGAAUGAUGCCCAUGACUGAUCCAAGGAUGCUCUGGGUGUUAGCUCCAGCAGACAGUGCUGGGUGCAUGCUUGCUCAGCGCUUGUAUAUGCUGACCCCUAACCUUGCUGACCCAACCCUUGCAGAUAGAAGUCCCUAACCUUGCUAUCCCAACCCUUGCUAAUGAUGACCUGUAACCUUUCUAUUUCAGCCUUUGCAGAUGUGGGCCCUUGACACUGUAAUCAUCUUUGUUAGGUGUGCAAAAGAUGACCCUCCGAACCAUAUGAACACAGUUCUGGGAACUGUGCCCUCUAUGUUCAAACUAAUAUAAACAAGAAUGUAAGGAAAAGAACCCCA
RNAcentral lists this small RNA (1593 nucleotides) under Rattus norvegicus (Norway rat). RNAcentral's name for it is "uncharacterized LOC102548287". Lineage: Eukaryota; Metazoa; Chordata; Mammalia; Rodentia; Muridae. The record is from RNAcentral.